UAACACAUGCAAGUCGUACGCAGUAGUUUUUAACUCUAGUGGCGGACGGGUGAGUAACACGUGAGAAUUUGCCUUUAGGAGGGGGAUAACAAUCGGAAACGAAUGCUAAUACCCCAUAUGCUUUCGAGUGAAAUGGAUUUAUAUUUAUCCGCCUAGAGAGAAGCUCGCGGCUGAUUAGCUUGUUGGUAAGGUAAUGAGCCUACCAAGGCGACGAUCAGUAUCUGGUUUGAGAGGACGAUCAGACACACUGGAACUGAGACACGGUCCAGACUCCUACGGGAGGCAGCAGUGGGGAAUUUUCCGCAAUGGGCGAAAGCCUGACGGAGCAAUACCGCGUGAGGGAAGACUGCCUAUGGGUUGUAAACCUCUUUUUUCGGGGAGGAAUCAAUGACGUGUACCUGAAGAAUAAGCAUCGGCUAACUCCGUGCCAGCAGCCGCGGUAAGACGGAGGAUGCAAGUGUUAUCCGGAAUCACUGGGCGUAAAGCGUCUGUAGGUGGUUUAAUAAGUCAACUGUUAAAUCUUGAGGCUCAACUUCAAAAUCGCAGUCGAAACUAUUAGACUAGAGUAUAGU
Molecule: ribosomal RNA, 572 nt
Filed under: uncultured cyanobacterium
Lineage: Bacteria; Bacillati; Cyanobacteriota
Description: bacterial SSU rRNA
Rfam family: Bacterial small subunit ribosomal RNA
Source: RNAcentral